UACGGAGGGGGCUAGCGUUGUUCGGAAUUACUGGGCGUAAAGCGCGCGCAGGCGGCUAUCCAAGUCAGUGGUGAAAGCCCGGAGCUCAACUCCGGAACUGCCAUUGAAACUGUUUAGCUUGAGGACGAGAGAGGUGAGUGGAAUUCCCAGUGUAGAGGUGAAAUGCGUAGAUAUCGGGAGGAACACCAGUGGCGAAGGCGGCAUCCUGGCCUGUAACUGACGCUGAGACGCGAAAGCGUGGGGAGCGAACCGG
RNAcentral lists this ribosomal RNA (253 nucleotides) under uncultured bacterium. RNAcentral describes it as "partial 16S ribosomal RNA". It matches the Rfam family "Bacterial small subunit ribosomal RNA", at positions 524 to 776 of the family's 1533-position model. The record is from RNAcentral.